This 1343-nucleotide ribosomal RNA is filed under the name uncultured bacterium. RNAcentral's name for it is "16S ribosomal RNA". It matches the Rfam family "Bacterial small subunit ribosomal RNA", at positions 28 to 1378 of the family's 1533-position model. The record is from RNAcentral.
GACGAACGCUGGCGGCGUGCUUAACACAUGCAAGUCGAACGGAAAGGCCCUGCUUUUGUGGGGUGCUCGAGUGGCGAACGGGUGAGUAACACGUGAGUAACCUGCCCUUGACUUUGGGAUAACUUCAGGAAACUGGGGCUAAUACCGGAUAGGAGCUCCUGCUGCAUGGUGGGGGUUGGAAAGUUUCGGCGGUUGGGGAUGGACUCGCGGCUUAUCAGCUUGUUGGUGGGGUAGUGGCUUACCAAGGCUUUGACGGGUAGCCGGCCUGAGAGGGUGACCGGCCACAUUGGGACUGAGAUACGGCCCAGACUCCUACGGGGGGCAGCAGUGGGGAAUAUUGCACAAUGGGCGGAAGCCUGAUGCAGCAACGCCGCGUGCGGGAUGACGGCCUUCGGGUUGUAAACCGCUUUCGCCUGUGACGAAGCGUGAGUGACGGUAAUGGGUAAAGAAGCACCGGCUAACUACGUGCCAGCAGCCGCGGUGAUACGUAGGGUGCGAGCGUUGUCCGGAUUUAUUGGGCGUAAAGGGCUCGUAGGUGGUUGAUCGCGUCGGAAGUGUAAUCUUGGGGCUUAACCCUGAGCGUGCUUUCGAUACGGGUUGACUUGAGGAAGGUAGGGGAGAAUGGAAUUCCUGGUGGAGCGGUGGAAUGCGCAGAUAUCAGGGGGAACACCAGUGGCGAAGGCGGUUCUCUGGGCCUUUCCUGACGCUGAGGAGCGAAAGCGUGGGGAGCGAACAGGCUUAGAUACCCUGGUAGUCCACGCUGUAAACGGUGGGUACUAGGUGUGGGGUCCAUUCCACGGGUUCCGUGCCGUAGCUAACGCUUUAAGUACCCCGCCUGGGGAGUACGGCCGCAAGGCUAAAACUCAAAGGAAUUGACGGGGCCCCGCACAAGCGGCGGAGCAUGCGGAUUAAUUCGAUGCAACGCGUAGAACCUUACCUGGGUUUGACAUGGAUCGGGAGUGCUCAGAGAUGGGUGUGCCUCUUUUGGGGUCGGUUCACAGGUGGUGCAUGGCUGUCGUCAGCUCGUGUCGUGAGAUGUUGGGUUAAGUCCCGCAACGAGCGCAACCCUUGUUCACUGUUGCCAGCACGUUAUGGUGGGGACUCAGUGGAGACCGCCGGGGUCAACUCGGAGGAAGGUGGGGAUGACGUCAAGUCAUCAUGCCCCUUAUGUCCAGGGCUUCACGCAUGCUACAAUGGCUGGUACAGAGAGUGGCGAGCCUGUGAGGGUGAGCGAAUCUCGGAAAGCCGGUCUCAGUUCGGAUUGGGGUCUGCAACUCGACCUCAUGAGGUCGGAGUCGCUAGUAAUCGCAGAUCAGCAACGCUGCGGUGAAUACGUUCCCGGG